Molecule: ribosomal RNA, 465 nt
Filed under: uncultured bacterium
Lineage: Bacteria
Description: partial 16S ribosomal RNA
Rfam family: Bacterial small subunit ribosomal RNA
Source: RNAcentral
GACGAACGCUGGCGGCGUGCUUAACACAUGCAAGUCGAACGGAAAGGCCCCUUUUUGGGUGGUCAAGUGGCUAACGGAUGGGUAACACGUAAGUAAGCUGCCUUUGACGUAGUGAGAACUUCAGCUAACUGGGGCGAAUACCUGAUAGGAAGCCUUGCUGCUUGGAGGGGGUUGGAGAGCGUCUGCGGUUGUGGAUGGACUCGCGGCUUAUCAGCUUGUUGGUGGGGGAGUGGCUUACCAAGGCUUUGACGGGUAGCCGGCCUGAGAGGGCGAACGGCCACAUUGGGACUGAGAUACGGCCCAGACUCCUACGGGAGGCAGCAGUGGGGAAUAUUGCACAAUGGGCGCAAGCCUGAUGCAGCAACGCCGCGUGCGGGAUGACGGCCUUCGGGUUGUAAACCGCUUUCAGCAGGGGCGAAGCUUGUGGUGACGGUACCUGCAGAAGAAGCACCGGCUAACUACGUG